This 503-nucleotide ribosomal RNA is filed under the name uncultured bacterium. RNAcentral describes it as "partial 16S ribosomal RNA". It matches the Rfam family "Bacterial small subunit ribosomal RNA", at positions 30 to 523 of the family's 1533-position model. The record is from RNAcentral.
AUUGAACGCUGGCGGCAGGCUUAACACAUGCAAGUCGAGCGGGGUGAUGGUGCUUGCACUAUCACUUAGCGGCGGACGGGUGAGUAAUGCUUAGGAAUCUGCCUAUUAGUGGGGGACAACAUCUCGAAAGGGAUGCUAAUACCGCAUACGUCCUACGGGAGAAAGCAGGGGAUCACUUGUGACCUUGCGCUAAUAGAUGAGCCUAAGUCGGAUUAGCUAGUUGGUGGGGUAAAGGCCUACCAAGGCGACGAUCUGUAGCGGGUCUGAGAGGAUGAGCCGCCACACUGGGAAUGAGACCCGGCCCAGACUCCGACGGGAGGUAGCAGUGGGGAAUAUUGGACAAUGGGGGGAACCCUGAUCCAGCCAUGCCGCGUGUGUGAAGAAGGCCUUAUGGUUGUAAAGCACUUUAAGCGAGGAGGAGGCUCUUUUGGUUAAUACCCAAGAUGAGUGGACGUUACUCGCAGAAUAAGCACCGGCUAACUCUGUGCCAGCCGCCGCGGUAA